This 540-nucleotide ribosomal RNA is filed under the name Bifidobacterium longum subsp. infantis. RNAcentral describes it as "bacterial SSU rRNA". It matches the Rfam family "Bacterial small subunit ribosomal RNA", at positions 158 to 711 of the family's 1533-position model. Lineage: Bacteria; Bacillati; Actinomycetota; Actinomycetes; Bifidobacteriales; Bifidobacteriaceae. The record is from RNAcentral.
GGGUGGUAAUGCCGGAUGUUCCAGUUGAUCGCAUGGUCUUCUGGGAAAGCUUUCGCGGUAUGGGAUGGGGUCGCGUCCUAUCAGCUUGACGGCGGGGUAACGGCCCACCGUGGCUUCGACGGGUAGCCGGCCUGAGAGGGCGACCGGCCACAUUGGGACUGAGAUACGGCCCAGACUCCUACGGGAGGCAGCAGUGGGGAAUAUUGCACAAUGGGCGCAAGCCUGAUGCAGCGACGCCGCGUGAGGGAUGGAGGCCUUCGGGUUGUAAACCUCUUUUAUCGGGGAGCAAGCGUGAGUGAGUUUACCCGUUGAAUAAGCACCGGCUAACUACGUGCCAGCAGCCGCGGUAAUACGUAGGGUGCAAGCGUUAUCCGGAAUUAUUGGGCGUAAAGGGCUCGUAGGCGGUUCGUCGCGUCCGGUGUGAAAGUCCAUCGCUUAACGGUGGAUCCGCGCCGGGUACGGGCGGGCUUGAGUGCGGUAGGGGAGACUGGAAUUCCCGGUGUAACGGUGGAAUGUGUAGAUAUCGAAAAAAAAACACCA